Molecule: ribosomal RNA, 253 nt
Filed under: uncultured bacterium
Lineage: Bacteria
Description: partial 16S ribosomal RNA
Rfam family: Bacterial small subunit ribosomal RNA
Source: RNAcentral
UACGUAGGUGGCAAGCGUUGUCCGGAUUUACUGGGCGUAAGGAGCGCGCAGGCGGUCGUGCAAGUCGCGUGUGAAAGCCCCCGGCUCAACUGGGGAGGGUCACGCGAUACUGCUCGACUCGAAGGCAGGAGAGGGAAGUGGAAUUCCCGGUGUAGUGGUGAAAUGCGUAGAUAUUGGGAAGAACACCGGUGGCGAAGGCGGCGACCUGGUCCUUGACUGACGCUGAGGCGCGAAAGCGUGGGGAGCAAACAGG